RNAcentral lists this ribosomal RNA (460 nucleotides) under uncultured bacterium. Its description in RNAcentral is "partial 16S ribosomal RNA". It matches the Rfam family "Bacterial small subunit ribosomal RNA", at positions 338 to 795 of the family's 1533-position model. The record is from RNAcentral.
CCUACGGGAGGCAGCAGUGAGGAAUAUUGGUCAAUGGACGAGAGUCUGAACCAGCCAAGUAGCGUGAAGGAUGACUGCCCUAUGGGUUGUAAACUUCUUUUAUAAAGGAAUAAAACGAGGCACGUGUGCCUUUUUGCAUGUACUUUAUGAAUAAGGAUCGGCUAACUCCGUGCCAGCAGCCGCGGUAAUACGGAGGAUCUGAGCGUUAUCCGGAUUUAUUUGGGUUAAAGGGAGCGUAGAUGGGUUGGUAAGUCAGUUGUGAAAGUUUGCGGCUCAACCGUAAAAUUGCAAUUGAUACUGGCAGUCUUGAGUACAGUUGAGGUAGGCGGAAUUCGUGGUGUAGCGGUGAAAUGCUUAGAUAUCACGAAGAACCCCGAUUGCGAAGGCAGCUUACUAAACUGUGACUGACACUGAUGCUCGAAAGUGUGGGUAUCAAACAGGAUUAGAUACCCGUGUAGUC